CCUGUGUAUUUUUAACGGGCUGCGAGUAUUCUAACCGCGCGCCCCCCUAAAAAUGAUUUGUUCUUUAAAUGGGGACUUCCCCAAAAAGAAAAUAUGAGGGUUAUAUUGUGUUUUGUUUUUAAUCAGUGAACUUGAUCUUCCCGUGAAGAAGCGGGAAUAUAACUAUUAGACGAGAAGACCCCAUGGAGCUUUUUAUCACGCAGCAGCUUAAAUACACAAUCCCUCAUAUUCUGUAAGACCGUGCUGCAACGUUUUUUGGUUGGGGUGACCACGGAGUAUAAUCAAACCUCCACGACGAAAAGGCAAUUAUCUUUAUUUAUGAACUACUGUUUUUUUUUUUAGCACACUAACGGAUAAUGUUUCCUAUAAUCGAUCAACGGACCAAUUUUCUUUGGGGAUAACAGCCCAAUCUACUUUGAUAGCUCAUAUCGACAAGUAGGCUUACUAUCUCUUUGUUGGAUCAGGGUAUCCCGGUGGUGUAUUCGCUACUGA
This 492-nucleotide ribosomal RNA is filed under the name Polypedates otilophus (Bongon whipping frog). RNAcentral describes it as "partial 16S ribosomal RNA". Lineage: Eukaryota; Metazoa; Chordata; Amphibia; Anura; Rhacophoridae. The record is from RNAcentral.